CAGUAGCCGCGGUAAUACGUAGGUCCCGAGCGUUGUCCGGAUUUAUUGGGCGUAAAGGGAGCGCAGGCGGUUUAGUAAGUCUGAAGUUAAAGGCAUUGGCUCAACCAAUGUAUGCUUCGGAAACUGUUAGACUUGAGUGCAGAAGGGGAGAGUGGAAUUCCAUGUGUAGCGGUGAAAUGCGUAGAUAUAUGGAGGAACACCGGUGGCGAAAGCGGCUCUCUGGUCUGUCACUGACGCUGAGGCUCGAAAGCGUGGGUAGCGAACAGGAUUAGAUACCCGAGUAGUCCCUGUCUCUUAUACA
RNAcentral lists this ribosomal RNA (301 nucleotides) under uncultured bacterium. Its description in RNAcentral is "partial 16S ribosomal RNA". It matches the Rfam family "Bacterial small subunit ribosomal RNA", at positions 509 to 808 of the family's 1533-position model. The record is from RNAcentral.